CUCAUUUCAGUUACCUCAGAGGGGCCAAUCUGAGAGCCCAGCCUUCAGCACUGAAGCUUUUUCUCUUCAUUUCAAGGCAAAUUCUCGCUCUCUGAUAAACCCUCAAGCCACAGUAUCUGCUAGGCAGGAAGACUUUGAUGAAUAUAGCAUGGCGAACAUGGUGAAGAUGGGAACAUGAUGAGAAAUUUCUGGUCAUUUUCAAGUUUCCAUCUUCCUACCGACUUAGCAUGGGGGAAUCACAGCAAUAAGCUUUUCCUUCGGCCCUUCUGACUUGAUUCACUACCUCAUAUAUCUGUCAAACAUAAUCCUGGAACGGAGCAGUCACAAAAAACUGACCCAGGUCCACCACCAUGUGCUAUUAUGCAUGGAGAUAUAUGUUCAUGGCAUCCUUGGUCACCCUGGGAUUCUCCCUUCAAGAAAAUACAGAACAGUUUGCUGACUACAGUGUAUGGGAAGAGGAUGUCAUAUCUCUGCAGAUAGUCCAGGAUCGAACCAACUCUGAAAUUGAGAAGCAUAUGGACACCUUCAAGGAGAUGCAGAAAAUUUCUCCUCUUCUCCAACGCGCUACCUACACCCUCCUGGCUGGAGCUGCACCCCAGGAAAAGAGCACCUCCAUAUUCUCCCACAUGAGCAAUUACUCUGAGUCUGAGGCUGCCUGCUUUCCUGUGGAGGAAGAUAUGGACUUUGGUGAACCAGACAACCCCGCUGGUGUCGUCUUCACCAACAUGAUGACCAAGAAAGACAUCCCACAGUAUGCCUAUGUCCUGAGCGAAGACAGCUUCUCCACCCUGGAUCCUUUGGAAGGCAGCUACCUGAUGGUAAUUCUAGAUAGACCGCAAAAAGUCACCCGGAUUGUGGUAAACACGGGCUCUGAAAUCAAAGGGAUGUUCCGACUGGAGCGGGGACAAGUCCUCCUGGGCUACAACCGCCUGGAGAAUGUGAAAGGCUGUGCUCACUACACCCUUUUGGGGCCACUGGUGGCAGGGAAUUUGGACCAGAGGGUGUUUUAUGAAGAUUCUGAAGAGCAAAUAAGUUGUAUAAAACUGCUAGUGGUAGCACCUCAGGAAUCUUGGCUCCUGAUUAGAGGGAUCAAAGUCUGGGCAGAGCCUGAGGAAGAGUAGAGUGAGUGGGAGCAAUGAUGAUUCUGGUAGGAUUGGGUUUGGAAAUGGUUUGUGGAUGGACAAAUAAAUCUAAAAACUGGUAAAGCACUGCUCCUACUGAGUUGGGUGUUCAUGCAUGAUUGAUUGUCCAUGCAGUCAGUUCUCCAAC
RNAcentral lists this long non-coding RNA (1269 nucleotides) under Chinchilla lanigera (long-tailed chinchilla). RNAcentral describes it as "lncRNA (ENSCLAG00000028604.1)". Lineage: Eukaryota; Metazoa; Chordata; Mammalia; Rodentia; Chinchillidae. The record is from RNAcentral.